RNAcentral lists this long non-coding RNA (452 nucleotides) under Pongo abelii (Sumatran orangutan). RNAcentral describes it as "lincRNA". The record is from RNAcentral. Lineage: Eukaryota; Metazoa; Chordata; Mammalia; Primates; Hominidae.
UGGACAGCAGCAGAGGGAGGAGGAGGCAGGACAGACCGGAAGAGAGACAAUGAGGUUCUGAACCUAGAUGGUGGCAAGGGAGCAGAGAAGGGCAGGUCAGGAGGCCCCCGCCCUGCAAUCACCCUUCCUGGGAGCCUUCACUUCACCUGUGAUCUCAAGACCUCUCCCUCCUGCCUGACUCGUGCCGAGCUUGUGGAACAUCUUCCCUUGAGGGUCGCAGUCCAUUCGAGGAGCCUUGUCACACGUCUUGCUUCUGUGGGGAGCUCAAGCUAGGACACCCCUGGAACACUCCCCAAGUCUCUUCCUUCCCAUCCAGCACCACUUCCCUAAGUCACAACUGCACCACCUCUCAUCUGGACUGCUCACAGCAGGAGGAGUCAGGAUCAAAAUAUCCAAAGAAAAAGUAAGAAUCUAUAUACAGGAAACAAAUAUGUGACGAUGACUGGAGCAGC